CCGCCACACUGGUUACUUGAGACACCGGUACCAAACCUCCAAACGGGAGGCUAGCAGUAAGGAAUAUUGGUCAAUGGGCUGCAAGCCUGUAACCAGCCAUGCCGCGUGCACGGAAGACGGCCCUACGGGUUAGUAAACUGCUUCUCUGCAGGGGAACUAAACCCCCGUACGUGUACGGGGGCUGAAUGUACUCUGAGAAGUAAGGAUCGGCUAACUCCGUGCCAGCAGCCGCGGUAACUACGGAGGAUCCAAGCGUUAUCCGGAUUUAUUGGGUUUAAAGGGUGCGUUAGGCGGCUUGUCAAGUCAGGGGUGAAAGACGGUAGCUCAACUAUCGCAGUGCCUUUGAUACUGAUGAGCUUGAAUGUACUUGAGGUAGGCGG
Molecule: ribosomal RNA, 380 nt
Filed under: uncultured bacterium
Lineage: Bacteria
Description: bacterial SSU rRNA
Rfam family: Bacterial small subunit ribosomal RNA
Source: RNAcentral